ACGGGAGGCAGCAGUGGGGAAUAUUGCGCAAUGGGGGAAACCCUGACGCAGCAAUACCGCGUGAGUGAAGAAGGUUUUCGGAUCGUAAAGCUCUUUUAUCAGGGAAGAGAAAAGACGGUACCUGAUGAAGAAGUCCCGGCUAACUACGUGCCAGCAGCCGCGGUAAUACGUAGGGGACAAGCGUUGUCCGGAAUGACUGGGCGUAAAGGGCGCGUAGGCGGGGUAAUAAGUCUGAUGUGAAAGGUCUCGGCUCAACCGAGGACAUGCAUUGGAAACUGUUACUCUUGAGUACUGGAGAGGCAAGUGGAAUUCCUAGUGUAGCGGUGAAAUGCGUAGAUAUUAGGAGGAACACCAGUGGCGAAGGCGGCUUACUGGACUGUAACUGACGUUGAGGCUCGAAAGCGUGGGGAGCAAACAGGAUUAGAUACCCUGGUA
RNAcentral lists this ribosomal RNA (435 nucleotides) under uncultured Eubacteriaceae bacterium. RNAcentral describes it as "partial 16S ribosomal RNA". It matches the Rfam family "Bacterial small subunit ribosomal RNA", at positions 341 to 792 of the family's 1533-position model. The record is from RNAcentral. Lineage: Bacteria; Bacillati; Bacillota; Clostridia; Eubacteriales; Eubacteriaceae.